This 20-nucleotide unclassified non-coding RNA is filed under the name Mus musculus (house mouse). RNAcentral describes it as "oocyte_clustered_small_RNA10252". Lineage: Eukaryota; Metazoa; Chordata; Mammalia; Rodentia; Muridae. The record is from RNAcentral.
UCCAGGAGUUGGGCCACGGA